GCGCGACUUCCCUGGCCCUCCCCCUGCGGACCAGUGAACCUCGCCCGAGGGCUCAAUAAAGAAGAUUUUUGCCCUCUUUUUCUCACCUCUCAGCCUUAUUGAUCCAUGGUGCCCUUCCAUUGCCUUUCAUUGGUGCCGAAACCCGGGAGGGGACACCUCCUAAGCCCCCCCAGAGGCUCAGGGGGACUCCCCUCCUGGUCGGAUCAGUCCUCUCCCUCAGUCAGGUCAGGCUUCUCCUCCACGGCCAUCUGUCCAUUUCGUCCGGUUACUUGCUGCCAGGUCGCAGUUGCUGCAGCUACUCCAGUCCAAUUCGGCCGACGCUAGUCAAACAGGUGACAACCACACUUGGCGUUAACUGGAAGCUACACACUCCAUACCAUCCGCAGUCUUCUGGAAAAGUGGAAUGCGCCAACGGCCUUGUCAAACAACACCUAAUCAAAUUGGCUCUCGAGAAGCGCCAAUCGUGGAUCAACUGAGAUGCAAAACCCAUGUUCACAUCAUGAGUGAGUCUUCUAACUCGGACAAUGCAAUCAACAAAUUCUAAGACCAAAUUCCGGUGGCACUGGCUCCAAAGCUCCUGAGUGUGGAAGGAGGUGAACAGGGAAAAGCAGAGAGGACAAAAGUCACAUCCCCUCCCCACAGACCCAUACUGGGGAAGGGUGGAAGAUUUAGCUGCGAGUCAAGUUCAGAAUUUUGAUUAACAUCUUGGCAUGCACAUUCGAAUUUCAGAAUCAAGACUGUUGGCCAUAAAAAAUGACUAUAGCCUUGUGUAUUACCUGAACUGAGCAGUAAAAAAAAAGUCAUGGUCCUUCUGGGGCUUUUAUUCUGAGACAGGAACCCUGAACAGGCAGGAGAAAGGGAAUGUUGACAGAGAAACAAAGACAGUUGGCGACACACGCUGACCGCCAUGCGGACGUCCAUCAAACCCAGCACUGGCCCUGGGUACGUGCGCCUUUGCUAUUACCCCAAUACAUUUUCUUCUGCAGAGCAAGCAACAGAACACAUGCAGACCUUAAUAAAUACCACUGGGUAAUGUGACAAUGGCCAAACUCUCCUCACGGGGGAGAGAGUGUCCCCCAGUUUUGCUCCCUUUUAAUUUCCAGGGUUCAUAAGUAGCUCUAAAGCUUUGCUCUACAAGGUUGAUACAUACGAUAUUAAUGUUUCCCCUAAGCAGUAUAACAUAAAUAUAUUUGCUAUCUUGA
RNAcentral lists this long non-coding RNA (1202 nucleotides) under Homo sapiens (human). Its description in RNAcentral is "long intergenic non-protein coding RNA 1287". The record is from RNAcentral. Lineage: Eukaryota; Metazoa; Chordata; Mammalia; Primates; Hominidae.